UACGUGAGGGGCGAACGUUGUUCGGUGUCACUGGGCUUAAAGGGCGCGUAGGUGGCUGCGUAAGUAAGGUGUGAAAGCCCUCGGCUUACCCGGGGAAUUGCGCCUUAUACUGCGUGGCUUGAGGAUUUCAGGGGAAGGGGGAACUCCAGGUGUAGCGGUGAAAUGCGCAGAUAUCUGGGGGAAGGCCGGCGGCGAAGGCGCCCUUCUGGGAAAUUCCUGACACUGAGGCGCGAAAGCGUGGGGAGCAAACAGG
Molecule: ribosomal RNA, 253 nt
Filed under: uncultured bacterium
Lineage: Bacteria
Description: partial 16S ribosomal RNA
Rfam family: Bacterial small subunit ribosomal RNA
Source: RNAcentral